GUUAUGAUUGUUUUCAAUUGUAAUUUUGAUGGAUCGAUCACGUACCUCUAGAAACUGUUUGACGGUCGUGUCCACAACCAUGAGUGGUCGCUGGAUAAGAUGAACGACUCCAUUACGUACGGGUAUGUUUGCUUUGACGAUUUCAGCGAGAACGACACCCUUCGCAUGCGUGUUGUCACCAGCCAAUGUGUUCGAUUUGACGUAAGCUGCAAUUCUAGCUUUGCCGUCCUGUUCGGUUAAAAAGCUGACGGUGACUUUGAUGUUGUCUGUGAAUGCCAGGGUUUUGUAAGGUUUGUCGUUCGGAGUUGGUGCGGUGAAGAGUACGUGGCCAGAAAUCACGUGACCGUCGAUGACUUUCUGAUCGAUUUUUCCUGAGCGAGUUUCGGGC
Molecule: unclassified non-coding RNA, 388 nt
Filed under: Athalia rosae (coleseed sawfly)
Lineage: Eukaryota; Metazoa; Arthropoda; Insecta; Hymenoptera; Athaliidae
Description: misc RNA ENSAEAG00005009720.1
Source: RNAcentral